Molecule: ribosomal RNA, 400 nt
Filed under: uncultured bacterium
Lineage: Bacteria
Description: bacterial SSU rRNA
Rfam family: Bacterial small subunit ribosomal RNA
Source: RNAcentral
UCGAGAAUCUUUAGCAAUGGGCGAAAGCCUGACUAUGCGACGCCGCGUGAGGGAUGAAGGUCUUCGGAUUGUAAACCUCUUUCGAUGGGGAAGAAGUGCCGAGCAUUCGGCAUUGACGGUACCUAGAGAAGAAGCCACGGCCAACUCCGUGCCAGCAGCCGCGGUAAUACGGAGGUGGCGAGCGUUACUCGGAUUCAUUGGGUGUAAAGGGCAGGUAGGUGUUUCGCUAAGUUAGAAGUGAAAUCCUUUGGCUCAACCAGAGAACUGCUUCUAAAACUGGCGAAAUUGAGGCUAAAAGAGGAGAGCGGAAUUCCCGGUGUAAGGGUGAAAUCUGUAGAUAUCGGGAGGAACACCAGUGGCGAAAGCGGCUCUCUGGUUUAGUCCUGACGCUGAGCUGCGA